Long non-coding RNA from Nematostella vectensis (starlet sea anemone), 562 nucleotides. RefSeq lists it as uncharacterized. The transcript has 2 exons. The record is from RefSeq and is a predicted model, not a curated record. Lineage: Eukaryota; Metazoa; Cnidaria; Anthozoa; Actiniaria; Edwardsiidae.
ACAGUAUUGGAAAUGUAGUUUCUACAUUUAUACGGGAUUUCCUGGUUCCACAACGGAAAAACCUGUACAAGAAACAUAUGGUGCACGAUUUAGGGGACAAAAUUCCCGUGGCUUCGUGUGUCAGGUCCUGACACCCUGACAAUUCUUGGGUUGCAAAUGAGGUAACAUCCACCUCAUUAGAUAUGCCAAAGUUGAAGUGGUGGUCAAAACAGACACGCGAAGAUGAUGGUUGUCUACAUUUCGUACAAGUGCCGUGCACCUGUUAAAACGUCAUAUUUUUGCGCUGUUUUCGAGUGUACAAAUCAAUCUAUCCAAAAAAGGGAAGGUUUUUCAGGGUUCUGCGGAAAUUUUAACGAAAAGGCGAAAGAAACUACAGAACAACGGCGUGAAAAGCUGCAACAUUCGUCUCCAAAUGAAAAGGAGCCGAGUCGAAAAUCGCAAGAGUUUCCAGUAAUUAGUUUGUGAAAGGUAUGAAAAUCAUCCCAAUGUCGUGUUUGGUGUUGUAAGUAAUUCUGAAAUGUGUAAUUACGCUGUAAAUAUUAAAAUCCCGUUUUGUCACACG